UAAUAAGUGUUGUACUGCACUUCUUAAAACAGUAUUCACCUUGUGUGCAAUGUUGUGUGAGAGAGCGCACUUGUGCCUCUCUUACACUUACAUCAACCUACAUUUUCAAUCACUUUGUCUGAAAACGAUUACGAAUACUUAAUUCGAAAUA
RNAcentral lists this unclassified non-coding RNA (151 nucleotides) under uncultured fungus. RNAcentral's name for it is "sequence contains ITS1, 5.8S rRNA gene". The record is from RNAcentral. Lineage: Eukaryota; Fungi.